CUGACUCUUAAUCACUUACUCAAAUCCUGUUUAUUAUACUUUGAUGAUGAUGUCAGUGAUGUCGAAAUGUCAGUUUAUAAUAUCGCUAAUUUUUAUUAUUAAAUUUAUAACAAGUUUUAAUCAAAUAAAACUAAUUAAUUAUAAGAAAAAAAACCUCUGCAAACCAAAAACGGCCAUCACUUCCAUACUACUUGAAAAAUACUAUUAAAAAUUCAAUAGUUUUUUUUUUAACUAAUGAUAAGUUCAGCUGAUACACUUCUCAAAAGACAAGGUUAAUGAUGAGGAAAUAAAAAUAUUCUCACUUUUAUACGUUAUCUAUAAUACUAUUUGAAUCGUCACCAAAUGAAUCACUGUGAUGCUCACAUACAGCAUAUUUCUGACUGGGUUGUGGGCAAGCUGGAGCUGACUAUGGGUGAGAGGUGGGGUACACCCUGGACAAGUCGCCAGAUUAUCGCAGGGCUGUGUGCCAAUCUCCUCCACCACCACCACUUUUCUUUAGAAGAUUUUCCACUUUUCCCAAAUACAUAUUUUUUUUUUCUUUUUUUGUAUCUUCAUCAUACCAGACAUGACAAAUCUUGCAGCCAACAAUUUUUCCACCAGUGAUAUCAUGGAUGACUUUCCAGGGCACUCCCCUCUAAAUCUGCAAACUCAGAACCAUGAGAUCUUAAUUUCCUUUCAAGUUUAUUGCAUUCUUUUUCUGAAGCUUGUCUGCCAAUCUUUUAAAAAUUUCUUCCUUAAUUUGGGUCAUUUUUUUCUGUUUUUGUUUUCUUCUCAAAUUGAUUACCAGUUCUACUAACUUUUUUUUUUCUUUUGUCUCCUGGAGGAGAAUCGAGGUGAUCCAUGACAUCAUUUUUCUUUGCCAAGGUGUGCUGUAUAAAAUCUUGACAUCCAUAAGCCAGUGAGUAAUUUCGCAAUCAACCCCAAGACCUGGAAUUCUACUCGUGCAAGUGGAGGCUGGUAAUCACGGAGAACUGAUGCUUGCAAACCACCACAGGAGAUAACAGCUUCAUGUAAAAGUUUCAGAAAAACGUCCUCAUAAUGGAAGUUUCUCUGAUAUGUUGAACAUCAUGUGGAGAUGAUUUCCCCACUAGCAUGGCCCUUUGGAAGGCCAGCACUAUGCAAAGCACUGAUGAACCCUUUUGGGUCACCUGACUGUCUUUGCAGCAAAACUUGUUGGUUGCUAGAAUGAGUGAUAGUCAUUACCAUAGAGUUUUAUUGUUUGUUUGUUUUACAAUACAGGUAGUCGUCGACUUACGACUGUGUUUGGUUACGACCGACCGAUCGUAAACCGAUCUGGUCGUAAGUCGGCCUAUGUUAAAUGAACGUAAGUAUAUUGUGACGUGUAAUGAUAUUGUAAUCAUCUUAAAGUCUUAUUUUAUCAACA
Long non-coding RNA from Neoarius graeffei (lesser salmon catfish), 1384 nucleotides. RefSeq lists it as uncharacterized. The record is from RefSeq and is a predicted model, not a curated record. The transcript is spliced from 2 exons. NCBI's taxonomy places the organism in Eukaryota, Metazoa, Chordata, Actinopteri, Siluriformes, Ariidae.